Molecule: ribosomal RNA, 426 nt
Filed under: Triticum aestivum (bread wheat)
Lineage: Eukaryota; Viridiplantae; Streptophyta; Magnoliopsida; Poales; Poaceae
Description: partial small subunit ribosomal RNA
Source: RNAcentral
AUGACGUCGGCGAUCCGCUCCGCUGCGGCGCUCCGUCAGCGGCUUCCACGCCUCCUGUCCUCCGCCACAAGAUCUGUGCCGCGAGCGCUUGAGGAGGAGCGGCGCUUUCUGUUCCGGCGCGCCGGCCCGCCGGCCAUGGGGGAUCCUCGACUUUUCAGCUCCAGUUCCACCGGGAAGUCCUACACGCAUCCUUGUAAACUCAACCUGCGGCACAAAAAGCAAUCCCUGGAGGACAGCUUGGCAUACCUUAACAGGAUGGCGAAGAAGGAAGCUCGUGACUGGAGAGAGAUGAGGCAACAUCUUGAAGCAUCGGAGCAAAGACAAAUAGAGCUCGAGAAAGUGUACAAGCGACAGGAUAGGGUGGUAAAUUGUGCCGCUGCCGCUCUAUUCCUUGCCUUGUUAGCCGGCAAUGUGUUCUUUGGUUGA